AGAGAUGUGUGAUGACGCAUAUCAAUAAGCGGAGGAAAAGAAACUAACAAGGAUUCCCUUAGUAACGGCGAGUGAAGCGGGAAGAGCUCAAAUUUGAAAUCUUCAAGGUUCUACCUUGACGAAUUGUAGUUUAUAGAAGUGUUUUCUGUUAGUAGAGUGGCAAAAGUUCUUUGGAAUAGGACAUCAUAGAGGGUGAGAAUCCCGUAUUUGGUCAUUCUUUCUAGCUUUGUGAUACACUUUCAACGAGUCGGAUUGUUUGGGAAUGCAGUCCAAAAUGGGUGGUAAAUUUCAUCUAAAGCUAAAUAUUGGCGAGAGACCGAUAGCGAACAAGUACCGUGAGGGAAAGAUGAAAAGAACUUUGAAAAGAGAGUUAAACAGUACGUGAAAUUGUCAAAAGGGAAGCGUUUGACACCAGUGUUGUUUUUCCGAAAAUCAAUUACGAAUGUUUUAUUUUUAAGAAGUUAUGACUUCAUCGGCUUGCUUCUUUCUUUACGAAACUUUCUUAAUGCACUUUUCGGUUAACAAGUCAACAUCAAUUUCUUUUGUUGUAAAAGGGUAUGAGGAAGGUGGCUUUCUUUUCGGAGAAAGUGUUUAUAGCCUUUGGCCUCUGCAAUCGGAGAGAUUGAGGUCUGCAGCGUAGAUCCUUCGGGGUUAGAUACAUUUGUGCUAAGUUAUAGCUUUUCAUAGACAACUUGUUGACUAUGUUUAGUCUUGUAGCUUACUCGCUUAUGCUAUUUUACCUACGCUUAGGAUGUUGAAGAUGUAGCACAUCAU
RNAcentral lists this ribosomal RNA (774 nucleotides) under uncultured Neocallimastigales. RNAcentral describes it as "partial large subunit ribosomal RNA". It matches the Rfam family "Eukaryotic large subunit ribosomal RNA", at positions 23 to 635 of the family's 3401-position model. Lineage: Eukaryota; Fungi; Neocallimastigomycota; Neocallimastigomycetes; Neocallimastigales. The record is from RNAcentral.